This 30-nucleotide non-coding RNA is filed under the name Rattus norvegicus (Norway rat). Lineage: Eukaryota; Metazoa; Chordata; Mammalia; Rodentia; Muridae. The record is from RNAcentral.
UCUGCAUUUCUCUGCACUGGUGUGCUCUAG